Molecule: long non-coding RNA, 1175 nt
Filed under: Fukomys damarensis (Damara mole-rat)
Lineage: Eukaryota; Metazoa; Chordata; Mammalia; Rodentia; Bathyergidae
Description: lncRNA (ENSFDAG00000021694.1)
Source: RNAcentral
CUCCUCAAUCAUAGUACAUUCGACAUGCAAAGAAAUAUAGCCUGGUGAGUGCUAAAGAAUACUUCAAUCUUCUAUUUUUCACCAGCUCAGCACAAGGCAGAACCCAGUCAUCAAAUCUUAUGAUGAAGAAUGGAUUAGAUUUUCCUGAUUGCAGAGAUCACGCCUUAAGUGAAACUUUUAAAAUGACUUCCUAUCAUUCUUUGCAGUAAUUUUUUUAUUUCCUUCCUUCCUUCCUUCUUUCAACCUUCCCUCCCUUCCUCCCUUUUUUCCUCCAUUCCUCCCUCCCUCAGUCCCUCUCUUCCUUCCUUCCCUGUGCAUUCAGUGCUACUAAAUGCCACACCCUGUUCGAGGUGAAGCAGCAGCAAAGCCAGUCUUGUCUUUCUCCGUGGAGCUUGCCUUCUGCUGUAGCUAUUGUUUUGGACCAACUUAUGAGGAGCCAACAGGUCGACCCUCCUUUCCCCCUCCCUUCAUCACACCGACGAAUGACUUGGACGGCAUGGAGUCAUGCAUGCUUGCUGCACGAGCCUUUUAGAAGUAAUGCGUCUUUAGGGCUGCAGCUUAAUGCGGAAAGUCAUCUGCAUUCAUGGAUACCUUUUCCGUGCAAGUUAUUUAAAGAGCAAAGCCUGGAGUGGACUGCUAGACAUCUUGAGCAUGUAAUAGAUGAACUGAGAGCUCUCCCGUGUAGCUUUUCUUUUCUGGAGACGACAGCAUGACGGCUAAGAGACAAGCGAUGGAGUCCAACAGCUCAGACUUGUGUCCUGUGCCUGCCACUAAUCAACUAUGUUGGACUGAGAAAGCAACGCGCCUCCCUCUGUUUCUUUACCUGUGAAAUAUGCAUAGUCAUAUCCCCCUCCAGUGGUUGACAAAACAUUAAAGGAGAUAAUUCACAGACAAGCCAUGGCAUGUUACCUGUCCCAGACUGAUCACUAUGGAAAUAUUCGCUGUUUUCUCUAAUAUUACUGUUUCUAUGGGAUUUAUGAUAAACUGGUCAGGAUGUAGGGUGAUAUUUUCAUUCAGAAGGGUCACUGCAAGGGAGGGAAGGGGAUUCUUACCACAGGCAAAAUGCAGUGGCCAACAUGGUUACACGUGCUACAAAAUCAAACCGAAAUAACACCCAUCAACAAGCAACAAGGGGAAAUUACAAUUUGGGCCCAACAAGAGAAGGGAUUGCUGUG